Molecule: transfer RNA, 77 nt
Filed under: Salmonella enterica subsp. enterica serovar Enteritidis
Lineage: Bacteria; Pseudomonadati; Pseudomonadota; Gammaproteobacteria; Enterobacterales; Enterobacteriaceae
Also listed under: 21 other names
Description: tRNA-Ile
Rfam family: tRNA
About the family: Transfer RNA (tRNA) molecules are approximately 80 nucleotides in length. Their secondary structure includes four short double-helical elements and three loops (D, anti-codon, and T loops).
Source: RNAcentral
GGGCCUAUAGCUCAGUUGGUUAGAGCAGCGGACUCAUAAUCCGUUGGUCCCAGGUUCAAGUCCUGGUGGGCCCACCA